This 460-nucleotide ribosomal RNA is filed under the name uncultured bacterium. RNAcentral's name for it is "partial 16S ribosomal RNA". It matches the Rfam family "Bacterial small subunit ribosomal RNA", at positions 338 to 795 of the family's 1533-position model. The record is from RNAcentral.
CCUACGGGAGGCAGCAGUGAGGAAUAUUGGUCAAUGGACGAGAGUCUGAACCAGCCAAGUAGCGUGAAGGAUGACUGCCCUAUGGGUUGUAAACUUCUUUUAUAUGGGACUAAAAUGUUCCACGUGUGGGAUUUUGUAUGUACCAUAUGAAUAAGGAUCGGCUAACUCCGUGCCAGCAGCCGCGGUAAUACGGAGGAUCCGAGCGUUAUCCGGAUUUAUUGGGUUUAAAGGGAGCGUAGGGGGAUUGUUAAGUCCGUUGUGAAAGUUUGCGGCUCAACCGUAAAAGUGCAGUUGAAACUGGCAGUCUUGAGUACAGGAGAGGUGCGCGGAAUUCGUGGUGUAGCGGUGAAAUGCAUAGAUAUCACGAAGAACUCCGAUUGCGAAGGCAGUUCACUGGACUGCAACUGACACUGAGGCUCGAAAGUGUGGGUAUCAAACAGGAUUAGAUACCCUAGUAGUC